RNAcentral lists this ribosomal RNA (305 nucleotides) under uncultured bacterium. RNAcentral's name for it is "partial 16S ribosomal RNA". It matches the Rfam family "Bacterial small subunit ribosomal RNA", at positions 508 to 807 of the family's 1533-position model. The record is from RNAcentral.
ACAGCAGCCGCCACGGUAAUACGUAGGGUGCGAGCGUUAAUCGGAAUUACUGGGCGUAAAGCGUGCGCAGGCGGUUAUAUAAGACAGAUGUGAAAUCCCCGGGCUCAACCUGGGACCUGCAUUUGUGACUGUAUAGCUAGAGUACGGUAGAGGGGGAUGGAAUUCCGCGUGUAGCAGUGAAAUGCGUAGAUAUGCGGAGGAACACCGAUGGCGAAGGCAAUCCCCUGGACCUGUACUGACGCUCAUGCACGAAAGCGUGGGGAGCAAACAGGAUUAGAUACCCGUGUAGUCCCUGUCUCUUAUAC